This 338-nucleotide unclassified non-coding RNA is filed under the name soil metagenome. RNAcentral's name for it is "partial contains 5.8S ribosomal RNA, internal transcribed spacer 2, and large subunit ribosomal RNA". The stretch from base 1 to 121 matches the Rfam family "5.8S ribosomal RNA", at positions 35 to 154 of the family's 154-position model. The record is from RNAcentral.
GAUGAAGAACGCAGCGAAAUGCGAUAAGUAAUGUGAAUUGCAGAAUUCAGUGAAUCAUCGAAUCUUUGAACGCACCUUGCGCCCUUUGGCUAUUCCGAAGGGCAUGCCUGUUCGAGCGUCAUUCAAACCUUCAAGCCCCGCUUGGUGUUGGGCGCUUGUCCCGCCUACGUGCGUGGACUCGCCUUAAAACUAUCGGCGUCGACGUGCCGGUCUCGAGCGCAGCAGAAUUGUCGCUACGAGGUCGGACGCUGCGGCUUGCCGUAAAAUGACCACCCAAUUCUUGACCUCGGAUCAGGUAGGGAUACCCGCUGAACUUAAGCAUAUCAAUAAGCGGAGGA